AGUACUUACAAAAAUAAUAAAAAAAAAUUGAAAUUAUGUAAAUUAUACAAAAUGCAUUUAACACAUAAAACUAUUUUAACAAAAUAAAUAACAUUAUUAUUAUAUAAUUGUGUGUAAAUAAAAAAAAAAAAAAUGUUUAGUACAAUUUUUAAAAUAUUGAUCACUCUCUUUUUUAUAUGGACAUGGCUUUAUAAAAACAAAGAUCGCAUAGAAAAUGUAUUAAACUCAAAAUACAUUCGAUUAUUGGCUCAAUAUGAUAUCUCGCCAAGUGAAAGGUGUAAUCAUUCUUAUGUGGCAGAUUAUAAUAGUAGCAAAACAUGUGAACGUAAUAAUAAUAAAAAAAAUGUAAAACAUAUAGGGAAAAACAAAAUUUUUCAAAAUGAAAAGUAUAAUACCAACAAGUUAUUUUAUUUAUUAUAUAGGAAGCAAGAAUUAGUUAAAAUAUUAGCUAACCGAAAAGAACCCAAAAAAACGUUCAUACUAAAAAAAAAAUACAAUAUAAUCAAAACGAAUUUACUACAAAUAUAUGACGUUAUUAAAAAUGUCAUAUCAAAUGAAGAAUAUUUACAAAUGUUAAAUAAAAAAUGUGAAUUGUUAAAAAGUAGAAGCUUAGAUGAUAAUGACCAUACUGCAAUAUGCUACAACUCAAUGUUAUACUUAGUGCACAAACACUUCUUACUUACCAACAGUAAAGAAUAUUUUAAAAGGCUGUUUUUACCGUUACAACAACAUAAUCCCCAACAAUCCAAAUUUAAACAAAGAAAAUCGAAAUCGAAACAUUUAAGUCUAUUUAAAUGCUGUAAUACAACAGAUAAUCAAUUUAAGACUAAGUUACCUAAACAAAUGACAAAAAACGAGAUUUAUUUUAACGUAAAAAUGCCAUAUAUAAAAGGUUAUAAUUUAUUUAGUUCUUCAUUCAUUAAUGCAUUAUUAUUAUAUAUAAUUAUUAUUUUAGCUACAUCUUUGGGGUUAUUUUUUUUCGUAUUCACAUUAUGGGUAUGGUUACUAUUAAAAUGUAUGCACCGUAUAUAACAAAAUAAUAAAUAUAUAUAAUCUCUAAACCGAAUUGUACA
Molecule: long non-coding RNA, 1073 nt
Filed under: Piliocolobus tephrosceles (Ugandan red Colobus)
Lineage: Eukaryota; Metazoa; Chordata; Mammalia; Primates; Cercopithecidae
Description: lncRNA (ENSPTEG00000016647.1)
Source: RNAcentral